GAUCCUGGCUCAGGAUAAACGCUGGCGGCGCACAUAAGACAUGCAAGUCGAACGGAAGUCGUUAUAAAAAGGAUUGAAGAUUUAUCUGAUUGAGAUUUUAUAACAAUGGCUUUAGUGGCGGACUGGUGAGUAACACGUAAGCAACCUGCCUGUUAGAGGGGAACAACAGUUAGAAAUGACUGCUAAUACCGCAUAUGCCAUAGUAAGGACAUCCUUACAGUGGGAAAGGAGAAAUCCGCUAACAG
Molecule: ribosomal RNA, 245 nt
Filed under: uncultured bacterium
Lineage: Bacteria
Description: partial 16S ribosomal RNA
Rfam family: Bacterial small subunit ribosomal RNA
Source: RNAcentral